RNAcentral lists this transfer RNA (66 nucleotides) under Chondracris rosea. Its description in RNAcentral is "tRNA-Phe". It matches the Rfam family "tRNA". Rfam says of the family: Transfer RNA (tRNA) molecules are approximately 80 nucleotides in length. Their secondary structure includes four short double-helical elements and three loops (D, anti-codon, and T loops). Further hydrogen bonds mediate the characteristic L-shaped molecular structure. tRNAs have two regions of fundamental functional importance: the anti-codon, which is responsible for specific mRNA codon recognition, and the 3' end, to which the tRNAs corresponding amino acid is attached (by aminoacyl-tRNA synthetases). tRNAs cope with the degeneracy of the genetic code in two manners: having more than one tRNA (with a specific anti-codon) for a particular amino acid; and 'wobble' base-pairing, i.e. permitting non-standard base-pairing at the 3rd anti-codon position. The record is from RNAcentral. Lineage: Eukaryota; Metazoa; Arthropoda; Insecta; Orthoptera; Acrididae.
ACUUGAAUAGCUUAUAAUUAGAGCAUAACACUGAAGAUGUUAAGGAGGUAUUUUUACUUUUAAGUA